GCUAGGAACAUGAUAGCAUACGCCUUGGAGCCAGUGCUGGAGGCCUGCUGAUGUCCCAGAGCAGAAAUAGCCUGUUUCAUCAUCGGCUCUGGACAACCACAGCCUGCAUUCCUCGAGUAAGGAGCUAUACUGUGCCAUGCUUUUGGAGCAAGAUAAUUUGCCAGCCACAGGCUGGGGAAGGCUGAUCUUUUCAAGGAGAGAGGUGCAGAAGGAUGUGAAAUAAUCAGGGAAGAUUCGAGGCUGGCAGUAUCUGGUGGGCAGAGACAAGAAGCUACACCGCUCAGCCACCUCGAAGGGGGCAACUCACCUGACGUGUGCUCUGCCAGGUUGGCUGUUUUGCAUCUGAUGUUCUUCAACUGAGAAUUUCAACUGAGCACGCGCUUGUUGGAUCACAAUCUCAUGAGACUACUUCGGCUAUGGUGGCAGGAGAUCUGCAGUGAUUGGCAGCCUUAGGACUUUGUGCCGAGGAAUUGGUGAGAAGCUGCGUGCCUCUUUGCUACUGAACACUACACAGCUAUGGGAAGAGACAGUUGUAGGGGGAAGCAAAAGAAGGUGAGGAACCUAUCACUCUGGGACAUAGAAGAAGGAAGAUAGUUCAUGUGUGGGGUAGGUGUAUGCAAGAACACAGUCAAGGCCAGCUCACCUGGGACCCCUACUACGAUCUCCCAGGUGCCAGAGGAAACUGAUUUGCUGAACCAGAGCCAGCCCAUUGAUCAACCUUCUUGUGAGAUUUCCCCAUCCUGCAAACAGAGCCAGCUGCUUUUAGCUUCCACUCCUAACAAGGUCACUAUACUCUUCAAUCAGGCCUCCUGGUGAGUCAUAAGGCCUCUCUAAUGUUGCAAACAAAAUUGUGUUUGGAAAGCUGACACUUGCCGGAGUAGCUAAUUGAGGUUCCAUGGCUGGGGCCCUGUGAGUGUAGGAGGGCCUCUCCCCUACUCCCCUCUGCCCCUUCGUUGUGCUUCUGCUCCUGGUAGAUAGCAUCUUAGGUCAAGCAUGUGCUAAAUAUAGCUGUCCUCCCAGCUGGGCUGUCAUCGGGGCUGUCAGCAGCACUGUCCCCAGGUUUUGGUCUCAGUGUUACGGCAGCCUUUGGCUUAACAGCCAAGUCCAGCCACGAGGUGAGGAUUUGUGUUUAAGAGUCAUCUCUCUUCAGACCCCACAAAGGCAGGUGAGACUAGGGAGAGAGGAACAUCGGGAUGAGGGACUGGAACACUGGCUUGGAGCUACAGUGUUGUGGCUGCCUUGAAGAACCGAGCAAUUGGCUUUUGUGCCUCAACUCGUCUCAGGCAUCAGCCUGGCUGAGUGAGAGCCGCAAGACUUGCCAGGAGGGCCGAGGUUGUUGUCUAUUCACCUCUUUACUCCCACACACCAGCAAAGGACUAUGGGAAUCCACUGACCCCUUGGGCAGGGAAGAAUACUGGUGUUUUAUGCUUCCCACCAUGGUGAGGGAAUGGGAGCCAGGACAUGCUGCUGUCGGUGAAGAGAAGAGCCUCCUCUAGCCAGAAUUCACACACACUCAGUCACCACCACAAGGACCUGCUUAAGGAUCUCCCCAUCAGCCGCCCGUGCAGGACGAGAUGGGAUUUUCGCUUUGCUUUGGGGCUGAGUUGGAGCGUCUGACCUUGAAGAUCCCAGCGGCAUCUGCGAGCUCAUUCAGGUGGUUGGCAAGAGAGAACGGCAGUCGUUCCAAGUUAUCCCGUGGAUAUGUCCAGAGGUGCCCAUGCAGUGGAUGCUCCCAUUGCUAAGGGGCAGGGGGUUGCGAGAAUAUGAUCCCAGCAUGAAGUAUGAACCUCAUAUUCUUAUUGGAGGCCUGAAAACAAUGAAUUGUAGUGGAAAGCUGCCGUGACAGUGUCUUCGUUUACUUUCUAAAGACUAUGAUCAAAAACUUUGAGAGAAAAAGGUUGGCUUUGUGUCCUGGUCACAGCUCAUAGUGAAGGGAAAUCAGGGAAGGAACUCAAGGUAGGAACCUGGAGGCAGGAACUGAAGUAGAAGCCAUGGAAAAGCACUACUUACCGUUUUGCUUCUCAUGGCUUGCUCAGCCCGCUUUGGCAUACAACCCAGAACCGCCCACCCACAGUAGAUUGUGCCCUCCCACAUCAACCAUCAAUCAAGACAAUGUUCCACCUACUUGCCUACAGUCCAAUCUGAUAGAGAAAUUUUCUCAAGAGAGGCUCCCUUGCCCCAGAUGAUCCUGCUUUGUAUCAAGGUGACAAAAAACUAUAUAACACAUAUGGUUAAUACACAUUUGCAACUUGAAAAGCUGUGGAAGCACCCAGGAGACAAGCCUGUGGGCAUCUGGAAGAGUGUUUUCAGAGAGUUUUAGCUGAGGUGGGAGACCCAUCAUGACUGUGGGUAGCACCAGCGUGGCUGGGGUCCUGACCUGAAUGAAAAGGAGAAAGAAUGAAACAGAAGCUCCCAUCUCCCUCUGCAGUUAACCUUGCUCAGUAUCCCAUAAAAGCUUAUAAAAUGGUAAUUAUUUAAUUGCAUAUUUGAUCUACACAGUAUAUUUUAUGUAUUGUAUAAUUAUCACUAUCAUAAUUAAUGGUGGCUAAUUCUUUUGUAAUGGAAAGCAGUAGCAUAAGGACUGCAUAAAGAUCUGUUCUAUUUUGCUUCAAGAUUAAGUUCAGAGGCUGGGAAUGGAGUUCAGUUGGAGAGCACUGGCAUUUUACAUGUCAGGCACACAUAGAGACACAGACAC
RNAcentral lists this small RNA (2695 nucleotides) under Rattus norvegicus (Norway rat). RNAcentral describes it as "uncharacterized LOC102547142". Lineage: Eukaryota; Metazoa; Chordata; Mammalia; Rodentia; Muridae. The record is from RNAcentral.